This 458-nucleotide ribosomal RNA is filed under the name Blastocystis sp. Its description in RNAcentral is "SSU rRNA". It matches the Rfam family "Eukaryotic small subunit ribosomal RNA", at positions 477 to 940 of the family's 1831-position model. Lineage: Eukaryota; Bigyra; Opalinata; Blastocystidae. The record is from RNAcentral.
CAAUACGAAGCCUUUGGUUUUGUAAUUGAAUUGAGAACAAUGUACAAUCGUUAUCGAUAAACAAUUGGAGGGCAAGUCUGGUGCCAGCAGCCGCGGUAAUUCCAGCUCCAAUAGCGUAUAUUAACGUUGUUGCAGUUAAAAAGCUCGUAGUUGAAGUUUAGAUGAUUUGUUGAGAGUGUUAGUAUUCGUACUAUCUGCCCUUAAUAGAUUAUCGACUUCCAGGUAAGUGUGAUGAACCUUUCGGGGUUUAUUACAUUCGACUGGUCUUUUACUGUGAGAAAAUUAGAGUGUUUAAAGCAGACUUUUUUUAUAGUUUGAAUAGAUUAGCAUGGAAUAAUAAGAUUGGCUUUCAUAGUCGAUUUUUUGGUUUGUUUAUGAAAGCAAGAUUAAUAGGGACAGUUGGGGGUAUUCAUAUUCAAUAGCUAGAGGUGAAAUUCUAUGAUUUAUGGAAGAUGAAC